GUGUUGCGUGAAAGAAGAGGUUAGCACUCCCCUUGAGAAGGAUGGAAGAGGUCCUUGUGGCCUUUCCAAAACAUAUACGGUUAAGGCAUUGCCACCUACUUCGUGGCAUCUAACCAUUAGCGUGG
Tachyglossus aculeatus (Australian echidna) is the source of this 125-nucleotide small nuclear RNA. The record is from RefSeq and is a predicted model, not a curated record. Lineage: Eukaryota; Metazoa; Chordata; Mammalia; Monotremata; Tachyglossidae.